This 440-nucleotide ribosomal RNA is filed under the name uncultured bacterium. RNAcentral describes it as "partial 16S ribosomal RNA". It matches the Rfam family "Bacterial small subunit ribosomal RNA", at positions 339 to 795 of the family's 1533-position model. The record is from RNAcentral.
CUAGGGAGGCAGCAGUGGGGAAUAUUGGGCAAUGGGCGCAAGCCUGACCCAGCAACGCCGCGUGAAGGAAGAAGGCUUUCGGGUUGUAAACUUCUUUUCUGGGGGACGAACAAAUGACGGUACCCCAGGAAUAAGCCACGGCUAACUACGUGCCAGCAGCCGCGGUAAUACGUAGGUGGCAAGCGUUAUCCGGAUUUAUUGGGUGUAAAGGGCGUGUAGGCGGGAAUGCAAGUCAGAUGUGAAAACUCAGGGCUCAACCCUGAGCCUGCAUUUGAAACUGUGUUUAUUGAGUGCUGGAGAGGCAAGCGGAAUUCCGUGUGUAGCGGUGGAAUGCGUAGAUAUACGGAGGAACACCAGUGGCGAAGGCGGAUUGCUGGACAGUAACUGACGCUGAGGCGCGAAAGCGUGGGGAGCAAACAGGAUUAGAUACCCCUGUAGUC